Molecule: ribosomal RNA, 164 nt
Filed under: Daboecia cantabrica
Lineage: Eukaryota; Viridiplantae; Streptophyta; Magnoliopsida; Ericales; Ericaceae
Description: 5.8S ribosomal RNA
Rfam family: 5.8S ribosomal RNA
About the family: 5.8S ribosomal RNA (5.8S rRNA) is a component of the large subunit of the eukaryotic ribosome. It is transcribed by RNA polymerase I as part of the 45S precursor that also contains 18S and 28S rRNA.
Source: RNAcentral
UAAACGACUCUCGGCAACGGAUAUCUCGGCUCUUGCAUCGAUGAAGAACGUAGCGAAAUGCGAUACUUGGUGUGAAUUGCAGAAUCCCGUGAUCCAUCGAGUCUUUGAACGCAAGUUGCGCCUGAAGCCAUUAGGUUGAAGGCACGUCUGCCUGGGCGUCACGC